RNAcentral lists this small RNA (81 nucleotides) under Pedobacter psychrophilus. Its description in RNAcentral is "Pedobacter sp. CCM 8644 Flavo-1 RNA". It matches the Rfam family "Flavo-1 RNA". The record is from Rfam by way of RNAcentral. Lineage: Bacteria; Pseudomonadati; Bacteroidota; Sphingobacteriia; Sphingobacteriales; Sphingobacteriaceae.
GUUUUGCGUUAGGGAUUGAAACGGCAGCUUUUUUGAUAGAUUUUCGCUAUCAAAAAACUAUAGUGGAAAGCCCGUUAAAAC